GACACUUGAUCGAUAAUAUCAAACAUGAAGCAAAUAAAAAUUUUAUAUCGAGAGAAGAAACGAAAUCGAGUCAUCGACCGAAAAAACGUCGAUACUAAAGAGAAUAUUUUAUCGCAAUCGAUCGAUACCGCGAGUUAUACUGCAAGUGCGUAAAUGGCCGCGAGCCUUUAUUUAAUAAGUUGUUAUAAAUUAAAGGGCUACUGCAUAUUAAACCACUCUCGGCAUAUUUAUAAUGAUUCUUAAGAGACUAUGCUGAGCGUAUGGAUAUGUAAAUCAACUUUGCCGCUGUUUCGAUUCCGCUACAUUUCGAUCCUUAUUUGCCUCGCUAUAGCAGCAAAGGAUUCUUCGCGAUUUCUUCUCUCUACGCUCUUUUACUUCGUUGCGUUACCGCGCGUCCAUCUUGACUACCGGAUAUUGUGUAAGUGAAUAUAUAUAGUGUUCGUGUAUUUUCGUGUAAGUUCGUGUCCACGUCGUAUCGGGUGAAACCAGAGGUCCGGACUCUAUACACGUGCAGACAUGCUUAUGAAUUUAUCUUCGACGAUGAAACGACAAACGGUUUUAAUUGCCGCCCCGGGCUACGUAGAGAUCGCCGCAAGUCUUAUAGGAUUCUCCGUUUCUUCUUUGCCUCGUUAUCUCGUGGUGAAGCCGCACCGAUAAGUGUUUCGACUUUAUCCAUCGUGAUAGAGAUGUGAGAUUCGUAAAAAAAAAACGCAAAAGAGAAGUAACUAUAGAGAUUCUGAUUCGAAGUCUGAAGGGUACUUGAAAACGAAAAUGGCAAAGAAAUCGCAAACGGCAAUCACGGACUAAGUACUAACCUAAUCAACCAAUCUUCGUUCUGUUCCUCUGUUUCACUGCUCCUCGAUUCUUUUACUCAAAGAAAGAAAAUGAUUCGCUACCCUCGAAUUAUCCUUUUUGUUACAAUUCUUCUUAUCGAAUGAAGUUUAAACUAUAGAUCGGUCUACUCUUUCCCGAUUGGAAUGACUUAUGGGCAUGCGGCGUGCUUUUGGUCUCCGCGAGUCUAUCGCAGGAUUAUAGCGAGCCAUGCAACUAUAAUAAUCUUCCUCGUGGCGAUUUUUACUUCUCUUCGAUAAUAUUGGAAUUUUGAUUGAUGAAGUGAUUUUUGCUGACUUUUAAGAAAUGGAUCAAAAAUAAUGGAUAAAAUAACAUCCCAGUACAAUUGGAUUAUAAUCUCCAAAACUUGAAGAAAAAUACAAAACAAUUGCUCUUCCCUAUUCUCUGCGCUCAACAUUCCAAUUAAUGUAAAUCAUAGUAGUAACGAUACUACUCCACUGGGAUCGCUUCGUGGAAAUUUCCGUGCAUUCCGAAAAUUGCCAGGUCCCCAAGUGAGCGAAAAUUGGAUCGUUUGUAUCAUUUGCGACUGUAACGCCGGCAAAUGCCAUCCCAGGCUAUUAUAAACACGAUAGAAUGAGGUUUGGCAGAGAGUAGGCCAAUGAUCGGAUUAUCCUGGAAACUUCUUGGGCAGAGAAACACCCGUGAACUUAGUAUGUGCCGAGAAGCGUGUACCAUGCUCGUAUAUCGACAUAAGGCAUUGUUAGGAUUCCCGGGGGACAAACCGAGAUCAAACGCUGUUAGCGCAAACUAUGCCCUCGAUUCUCGCUUAAGUUCAUUUUAGUACCAUACCUCCAACCUUGCAAGAUGUGUUACUAGAUGUGUACUAAUGCCUUUUAUUUGGAUUUAUUUUUAUUCUUUAAUUCUGUGUUUUUUUUUUUUAGAUGGUGGAUUUAUUAGAUGGUGGUGAUCUUAUUUAUUAGUAAUCAUUCCUAUUUUGUCGACAUUUAUUUAUUUUUAAUAGAAGAUAUAGACAAUGUUUGUACAUUUACAUGAAGAAGAAUGUUAAAAAUAGUUUUAGAUGAUACUGUUUUUGCUGAAUAUAAUUAUAUAAGUAAUCCAAGUUGCCUGGAGAGAGUUAAUUAUUAUAAAUAUAUUAAAUAUUGGAUUAAUCAUUAUUAUUAUAUCAACUUUUUUAUUUAUUUUGGAAAUUAAUCUUCAAGAAUAGAUUCUCCAAAAAUUUCUUAUGAAUAUAUUAACAUCCUAUAUACACAUGUAUCUGGUGCACACGAGGUUUGGUAUAUCGUAUCCGAAAAAAAGCAUUCGUGAAGCGGUGGCCCGACAAUGGCGGCCAGUAAUAAAUUAUAAAUCGAAAAAAGGAGGAACAACAGCAACAAGAAGCGGCAACCGCGGCGAGUUACGGUUUCGCGUUAAAUAUGAAAUAUUGCUAUCCAUGUCUCGAAAGUGCGCAUGUAUACAAGGUAGAAUGUGUAUACGUAUACAUAUAAAAGUAGUACGGUAUUAAGUAGCUGUUUAACAUAUUUUAAUUGCCAAACUAAAAUUUGAAAUACCACUAUAUGCUAGUUAUAAUAACUUUCCUAAUAUCUAUUAUAAAUCUUUGUAAAACAUUUGUCUAUAAAAGUGGAAGUUUAGUGGAAGUGAA
Molecule: long non-coding RNA, 2452 nt
Organism: Apis mellifera (honey bee)
Lineage: Eukaryota; Metazoa; Arthropoda; Insecta; Hymenoptera; Apidae
Exons: 5
Source: RefSeq, a predicted model, not a curated record